This 489-nucleotide ribosomal RNA is filed under the name uncultured bacterium. RNAcentral describes it as "partial 16S ribosomal RNA". It matches the Rfam family "Bacterial small subunit ribosomal RNA", at positions 29 to 504 of the family's 1533-position model. The record is from RNAcentral.
AGUGAACGCUGGCGGUAGGCCUAACACAUGCAAGUCGAACGGCAGCACAGUAAGAGCUUGCUCUUACGGGUGGCGAGUGGCGGACGGGUGAGGAAUACAUCGGAAUCUACUUUUUCGUAGGGGAUAACGUAGGGAAACUUACGCUAAUACCGCAUACGACCUACGGGUGAAAGCAGGGGAUCUUCGGACCUUGCGCGAUUGAAUGAGCCGAUGUCGGAUUAGCUAGUUGGCGGGGUAAAGGCCCACCAAGGCGACGAUCCGUAGCUGGUCUGAGAGGAUGAUCAGCCACACUGGAACUGAGACACGGUCCAGACUCCUACGGGAGGCAGCAGUGGGGAAUAUUGGACAAUGGGCGCAAGCCUGAUCCAGCCAUACCGCGUGGGUGAAGAAGGCCUUCGGGUUGUAAAGCCCUUUUGUUGGGAAAGAAAAGCAGCAGGUUAAUACCCCGCUGUCCUGACGGUACCCAAAGAAUAAGCACCGGCUAACUUC